RNAcentral lists this ribosomal RNA (200 nucleotides) under uncultured bacterium. Its description in RNAcentral is "partial 16S ribosomal RNA". It matches the Rfam family "Bacterial small subunit ribosomal RNA", at positions 116 to 334 of the family's 1533-position model. The record is from RNAcentral.
CGUGAGAAUCUGGCUUCAGGCUCGGGACAACAGUUGGAAACGGCUGCUAAUACCGGAUGUGCCCUUGGGUGAAAGAUUUAUCACCUGAAGAUGAGCUCGCGUCUGAUUAGCUAGUAGGUGUGGUAAGAGCGCACCUAGGCGACGAUCAGUAGCUGGUCUGAGAGGAUGAUCAGCCACACUGGGACUGAGACACGGCCCAG